RNAcentral lists this long non-coding RNA (11851 nucleotides) under Equus asinus (donkey). RNAcentral describes it as "lncRNA (ENSEASG00005033197.1)". Lineage: Eukaryota; Metazoa; Chordata; Mammalia; Perissodactyla; Equidae. The record is from RNAcentral.
CCCUCAUACACUGUUGGUGGGAAUGCAAACUAGUGCAGCCACUAUGGAAAACAGUAUGGAGAUUUCUCAAAAAGUUAAAAAUAGAAAUACCUUAUGACCCAGCCAUCCCACUACUGGGUAUCUAUCCUAAGAACCUGAAAUCAGCAAUCCCAAGAGUCCCAUGCACCCCUAUGUUCAUCGCAGCAUUAGUUACAAUAGCCAAGACGUGGAACCAACCUAAAUGCCCAGAAACUGAUGAUUGGAUAAAGAAGAUAUGGUAUAUAUACACAAUGGAAUACUACUCAGCCAUAAAAAAGGACAAAAUUGUUCCAUUCGUAUCAACAUGGACAGACCUUGAGGGUAUUAGGUUAAGCGAAAUAAGCCAGACAGAGAAAGACAAACUCUGUAUGACUCCACUCAUAGGUGGAAGUUAACAUAUAGACAGGGAGAACCGAUCAGUGGUUACCAGGGAAAAGGGGGUUUGGGGGGAGGGCACAAAGGGUGAAGUGGUGUACCCACAACAGGACUAACAAUAAUGUACAACUGAAAUCUCACAAGGUUGUAAUCUAUCAUAAUAAAAAAGAAAGAAAGAAAGAAAGAAAGAAAUUGUGCUUAGUGUAAUAUGCUUAGUGUAACGAAAAUGUAUAAUGUAGAAAUGGAAAGUCUCUUAUAGAGUCAUGCUUUCAGAAAUGACCUCAACAAGGCUUUGAUAGAUUUUCUUCUAGUUCUGUUUUAUUGCAUAUGCACGCUGUGUUAGUUUGCUGGGGCUGCCACAACAAAGUACCACAGACUAGGUGACUUAAACAACAGAAAUUUAUUUUCUCACAAUUCUGGAGGCUAGAAUUCUGUAGGCUACAGUGCUGGUUUCUUCUGAGGCCUCUCUUGUUGACUUGUGAACGACCAUCUUCUACGUGUGUCUUCCCUCUGUGUAUGACUGCGUCCUAAUUUCCUUUUCUUAUAAAGACGCUAACCAUAUUGGACACUAAUGACCUCAUUUAACCUUAAUCACCUCUUUAAAGACCAUAUUUUCAAGUACAGUUAAAUCCUGAAGAACUGGGAUCAGGGCUCCAACAUAUGAAUUUUAGGGGGGAUAAACUCAGCCCAUAACACACACACAUAGUAGUGUUUUUCUGUACGAUUCUGCAACUUGCUUUUCUCACUGCAAGUGGUUUCAAUAUGCUUUCAGGUCAGAAGAUCUGUAUCUUCCUGAGGAGGCCACGAUAUUGAGUACUUAGCUUUUUUGUCCUACAUAUUUAUUGCAAAGGAGAAGAGGAGUGAGAAUGGCCAUUAAGCCGACAACCAACAGUACCAGUCCAAAAGCUAUGCUGGCUCUUCACUGCCUCUUUUCCGUCUUCUUUAAUUGCUUUUAUUUCUUUGCGUUUUCAUCCGAAGUUUCUGUGACUUCGUUACGCUUGCUCUUCAUAUCACACAUUACGUUGGCUACUGCAUCAAUUACACUGUUUGCUAUUUCUGUGAUAUGGAUUUGUUCUAAAAUGCUAUUUCGCCCUUGCUUUCUUUUCUUAGCUUUUCUAGCUUCCUUGUUUUAUCUCACUCAGUUGAUUUAUUAUACAUCUUUUAUCUCUUUUUUUCAUAGAGGCCACAUGCUCUUUCUUUUCUGUGAAAGGUGCAAGGCAUGUGUCAUCUGAAAGCCCCUGAUGUUUCCUGGGAUGUUUUCUCCGAGGCUUCUAUUUGACUCUCAAUAGUGUGAGUGCUUUUUCCUUUACUCUCCUCCUCGUGUCUUUGGAUUCCUUUUAUAUUCUGCCCCUAGUACUUAAAAAUGGACAUUGAUGCCCUAUGUUCAGCCUUUUAGUCGUCUGUAAUUGUGUGUGUGAGUGUGUGUACACAGGGGUCUUAAGCGGUUGGUGUUUGUGAUUUGUCUCAACUCCCUUCUUCUGGAACUCUCACUUGCCAGGGCCUUAUCUGGUCCGUGCACAUGCUUUCAGCUUUCAGAUGGCCCCAUCCCCAGGUGAGGUUCAUUCCCGCUGCAGGCCCCUUGAGGCCCCUUGAGCAUUGCUUUGAUGUGCAGUCAAACCUAUUUUAGCAUCUUUUAUGUCAUGAUGAGAAAAGAUUUUCUUACUUAAAGAUGAUAUAAAUAUUCAGCUAUAUGUUCUUCUAGUAAGUGUGAAAUAACUCCAAAUUUAUCUUUUUCCAAAUGGCUAGCCAACUUUUCCAAUGUCUUUUUUUUUCCCCUCGCUGGGAAAGAUUCACCCUGAGCUAACAUCUAUUACCAAUCUUCCUCUUUUUUUUUUCCCCCAAAGCUCCAGUACGUAGUUGUAUAUUCCAGUUGUAAGUCCUUCUAGUUCUUCUGUGAGAGCUGCCACCACAGCAUGGCUACUGACAAACAAGCAGUGUGAUGCUGCACCCAGGAACUGAACCCAGGCUGCUGAAGUGGAGUGCACCAAACUUUAACCACUAGGCCACCAGGGCUGGCUCAGCAAUGUCAUUUUUUAAAUUAUCCAAAUCUUUCCUACCUGUACAAUAUACUAAAUAAUGUAUAGACAUAGAAUUUUUCUAGGCUUUUCUUUCAGUCUUAUUGAUAUAGCUCUUCUAGUUACAACUAUUUUCAGAACACUAAUGUAUUUUCAGAAACAUAUGAUGUUAUUAUAUUAUUAUACGUAAUAUAAAUAAAAUUUUAGCUUCAUAAUACAGGAAAUAGACAGUUGUAUAAGUGAAAUAAGAGCUCCACUGCCCUCUCCUCCCACUUAGUUCCCAUGUACAUGCUGACCAAUGGAUGUGUUCCAAAUAAGAAAACCUACACUACUCUCCCGCCUGUGGGAAAUGCUGCCUGGAUCAGGGCAAAGGAACCCAGGCUGUGAGUCAAGAGUUAUCAAUUUAGGGGCCACCCCGUGGCCAAGUGGUUAUGUUCCCGCGCUCUACUUUGGCAGCCCAGGGUUUCACUGGUUCGGAUCCUGGGUGCAGACAUGACACUGCUCAUCAGGACACACUGAGGGGGCAUCAUACAUGCCACAACUGGAAGGACCAACAACUAAAAUAUACAACUAUGUACCAGUGGCUUUGGGGAGAAGAAGAAAAAAUUUUUUAAAAAAGUUAUCAAUUUGUCUGAAGUUAUCAAAUCCUUAUUUUAGCAGAACAGAGGGGGAAAGAAAGUCUUAUAUAGAUUUUUUAAAUGAUCUUAACAGGUGGCCCCAGAAAUUAUCUUAGGGAGGGAGCACCCUUUGUUUACAAAAAUCUUUCAUAGUCCAUUUAGAUAUAUAAAUUUGGUUCUCAGGUUGUGAGGCCGGGUCAUGAAGUGUAGAGUAAAGAGGGAAUUCAAUUGCUUUAUGAGAACAAAGGGAUUUUAUUUCAGACUCCUAAGAGAAGAAGACAGAAACAAGAAAGUAUGAGAGGAGAGGUAGAGGCCAGCGACACAGUAACAUCCCCAGUGAUGGGAGAGCUAAACGGACUUUGCAGGGGACAUCUAAUAUUCAAAGCUGGGCUCUUGGUAUUGUUUUGACACAAACUCCUCCAUCUCUCCGGAUUCUCAGCAUCAGCUGCUCCUCAAAUGAACAGCAUGUGCGUUGGAGGGAGGAGGGAGCGGAAGAAAGUGGCUGUGUUUGUGUCUAGAUCUAUGUGUUGUCAUGGGAUGUCCAUAACCUAAACUUAUUUAGCAGAAACAGCAUCUUAGAGCAGAGGUAACCACGAGCGGGUAUGUUCUCCAAACAUUUGCAAAAAUUCGGGGAAGUUCAUUAAUUUCUACAAGUUGUAAAAUGGAGACUUUGGAUUCUACUAAAUCUUGUGAGCAGGAUGACCCCAGCUGACAUCUUACAGUUAUUUAAAACUUCACUGAAUAUAUCUGUGUUUACCUCUCAAAAGAACUGGCAUCAUUCAUAUCUUUGGGGAAAUGAAUCUUCAUAUUGCUCAAUUUACCUCCGAGAAACUAUGGGGAGAGAGAAGGAACAAACAAAAUUUCAAAGCCUCUGCCAGUUCUUCUAAUGAUCCUUUUUUUUUCUUUUGAGGAAGAUUAGCUCUGAGCUAACAUCUGCUGCCAAUCCUCCUCUUUUUGCUGAGGAAAAGUGGUCCUGAGCUAACAUCUGUGCCCAUCUUCCUCUAUUUUAUAUGUAGGACUCCUGCCACAGCAUGGCUUGAUAAGUGGUGCAUAGGUCCACACCCAAGAUCUGAAUCAGUGAACCCUGGGCCGACGAAACAGAGCGGGCGAACUUACCACUACGCCAUCCGUUUGGCCCCUAAUGAUCCAUUUUUAAGCAGAGUAAAUUAGAUAUAAUUAAGCUUUUUUACCUGUAAACUGUGACUGAUCAUAAUAACUUCUUCUCAGGAUUGUGGUGAAGAUCAAAUGAUGAAUAUACGUAAAGCGGUUGAGAAGUGCCUGGCACGCAGUAAAUUCUAUGUAAUUACAACCUAAGACAUCACCCCUGCAAAAGAUCCGAGCCCGGAUAAAGUGGUUAAGGGAUGGCCGAAGGAGAGGAGUUGCCUGGGAUACUGGGAGCAAGCUAACGUGGAGUGGCUGAGCCUACCAGAGUCUCCCCUGUCCCUCUCAUCUGGAGAAGACAGUGUUCAGGCUUUCGUCCCUCUCCACAGACACAUGGUUGGCCAAGGUGGCCAUCAGACACGAGGGAAUAUGAGCUCACAAGAAAAAAAUGAGACAUCUGAGGACUGAAAAUACUAUAAAAUAAAGAUGACAAAACUGAAGAGCCAACAUCAGAGGAAGCACAAUUAAAGAACCAGGAAAAUAAACAUCAGAUUGAGCAUCAGAGAUGUCCUUGGAAAUAAGGGGAGGAAUUAGAAAUGUGGAAGUAUGAAAAGAAUAAUAGAUGUAAUGAGGAAGAAACAAUGCCAUAUGAGAAAGAAGACCGGGGUCGGUUUUUCUUCACCGGUGCUCAUGUACGUUACCUGCUGGCCUCUGAGACACUUGAAUCUGUGUCCCUUUGAAAGAUGAUGCCCAAAGAGGAUCAGUCCUGGGAUGUACAAAGUCUCAGCAAAGAGAAGUGAAAUACGUCCACUGUGGUUUGACAUGCCUUAUGAAGAUAGGACUGACAGGCCUUGCAGAUGGACCAGAUGUGGAGGGUGAGAAGCUGAGAGAAGAUGCUGAGAUUUCUAGCCUGAGCAUAUGGAUAUAAGGAAAACUAACGGAAGGACGUUUCCAGUAGGUCACUCAUAAUUCCACUUCCUGAAAAGAUGGUAUGCUAUCCAAGAGAAAGAGAAGAAGAAACUUGGGAAGUGUGUCCCACCCCCCCCCCCCCCCCGAGAUGGAGGCCAAAGGCCAGGCGGCAAGGGACUCUUGGACCCACUGUGCUCGCAUCAUCUGUGCUGCUGUGGAUCGACCACGGUCAGGAGCAGCUUGCAGGAAAACAGAAGACUCUGGGUCCCCAGAGGCAGGGGCCCCAGGAAGGAGAUUGCACGCCACCACGGCGUGUGCCUCGAGUGGCAGUUGAGCCCAGGAGAAAAUACAUGGGAAAACUGGCUCCUGGUGUGGCUGUUUCAGCAAACACAAAGAAGAGACCCCAAAGAGUAAAGUCCCCCAAUUAGGGCUGCUGUUGGCCCAGCUGCCUGCAGGCUGCUGUACCCAUCAAGCAAUGGAUGGUAAAGGUUGCCUCUUCCUAAGGAAAUACCUUGAAAACAGGAAUAAGGCUAAUGCCAAAAAUUCCAGACAUAGUCAAGGUGGUACGGAAGCUAUUUGGGGUCGUGGGAACCUUCUAGCAGGGCCUUGCAAAUUAGACCACAAAGUGCUCCAUUCUGAACACAGGCAGUUUUGAGAAACCAGCGUAGCUGGUGUGAGUUUUACUGCAUGACACUCAGAUGUAAGAAAUGUCACUUUUCCUUGUUUCUAUAAAUAAGAUCAUUUUGCUCAGGGCCCUUACCUUCUUGCUGAGUGGACCAUUCCAUCUCAGUCACUUCAAAUUCUCUCUCUCAUCUCAACAUCUCCCUACCACACACUCACACAUAUACACAGAGAAGGCUGCAAAAAUCCUGAGAUUGCAGGGUGCAAAAAACGCUAGGAAAGCAGCGAGUCAGUCCAGGAGACGCACAUAAAUGAAAUCCAUUGAGAUGGGAGCCACCGGCUGGGGAAAACACUAUACAUCUCAGAGCAAUGAGGUGUGAACCAGAUAGAUUUCUGCAAAGGGUGCAGCAAAUGAAGUGGUAAGAAGAGAGGCAGCGAGCCAGCCCUGAUGGUCUAGUGGUUAAAGUCCACCACUCUCACCACUUCGGCGGCCCCGGGUUCAGUUCCUGGUCACAGAACCACACCACCCAUCUGUCAGUUGCCAUGCUGUGAUGGCACCUCACACAGAAGAUCCAGAAGGACUUACAACAACAAUAUACAACUAUGCACUGGGGCUUUGGGGAGAAAAAAAAAAAAAGAAGAAAGGUAGCUUUCGUGUAGGCCUCAUUGGCUGUAAUGGCUUCCCCCAGAGACAGACCGUUGAGGUGGCCCAUUAAGCUGCAGGCAUUCACUGUGGGUCACACAUAGGAGGAUGAGAGAUGCAGAGGAGAGAGUCCCCUCGGCUCGGAGGCCCUAGAGCUCUCCUCUUGCCCAGGGCUCUGGAUGCGGGCCUCCUGUAAAGUGCUCCUUCCUGCUGUGUUCUCCUCAGACUUUCCUCCUCAACCUGAUCGCUCUGGUCUUGCCUCUGAUCUCACCUUCAGACCUUGGCUUUGCAUCUUGUUUCCCUUCUCCACUCGACCCCGCAGACUUGAUGUUUAAGCUCUUCUUAGCUCUCCAAGCACCCUCAUGCAGGAUUCAAGGAUUAGUUCCCUUUCCCUCACACCGAAGCCACAGAGACUUCCUACGGAGUCCCUCUCUCUGGCUGGCUCCAGGACUCAUAGUCUAGGAUAAACGCAUAGUACUCCCUCAAAGCCGGAGUUCAACAGUUAUCCUUGUUGGCCCCGGGGUCCCCAUUCACGCCAAGCUCCAGUUCACACUUGACAUGACAACUCUAGCUUGUUGGGUCUUUCCAUGGUCUGGCCUCACCCUGCUCUUUUCCUGGUGGUUGGUUGACUCCUCAACAAUUACAAAUUCUUCUUACUCGAAUGAGGGAGAGCAGGAGCUAUUUCAGUACUGGGCCCCUCAGUCCUGGGAUCCUGUGCCCACUAUUAAGCAGAACCCUCAUGCCCCUAAGGCUAACAGCUCCCUCUAGUGGCAGCGAUGCAACUACAGCUGCGGUCACUGAUAGUAAUAGCGAAUUUUUUGGUGUUUGUUUGUAGGCACCGUUUUGUGUAGUCGACAUAUAUUAAUAAUUUAAUAGUCACAUCAAUCCAUUGAGAGAGGCGUUAUUAGUAUCACCAUGUUACAGAUAAGGAGACAGACACAGAGAGAUUAACUUGCCCAAGAACUUAACAGCUAGUUAGGAACAGAGCCAGCCUCUGAGCCCAGGAGGUCUGCUUCCAAAGUUGGCGAUUUGAUCUCUGUACUAUGACUCCCUCUCAAAACGAAAGACAGUACCCGCUCACUCCACUAAAACCCUCAAACACACCUCCACCCUUCCCACAGAAAUUCCUUCUCCAGGAGGAUGGGCUACAGGCUUGCAGAUGCGUAGUGCGGGCCCCCUUCCCCCUUAGAAGGUAAGGUGAGAGGAGUUUGGUACUUCUCCUCUGACCAGGCAGGCCACUGCUCCAAGGUGCCUUUGGACAUCUCUUCAGGUUUCUGAGCUCUGUGGUGGUCCCCUGGUGUUUCUGGGUGCUGGCUUCAUGCCUAAGGUGGCAGCUCAGAUAUUAGCCUUGCUUCUCUCUUUAUAGAGAGGCCUAGCAGCCUAGAGAAAUGGCCUUGCCAGCAUAAGAUAGUUAUUAUCUUAAGCUGCAGGUUCAGACUAGGGAUCAGACUGAUUCUCCUCUUGCUAUGUGGCUAUGGCUCCUCAGCCAGGCACAGGAAUGUAAUGACUUUCGACCAUGGACUUGGUUUUAGAAAGGACUCAGGGACAUACUCUCCAAAGAACUUGUCUGCUCCGCUUCCCCAGGCAGUUAGGCCUCCUUAUAAAGAAAGAAGCAGGGCUAAUAUCUGAGCUGCCACCUUAGGCAUUAAGCGAGCACCCAGAAACACCAGGGGAGUAUCACAGAGCUCAGAAACCUGAAGAGAUGUCCAACUUCCAGUCAAAGAUCCCUGUAUUCAUGUGAGGGGCAAUUUUAGACUCAACAUGUUUCUCUGCCCAGAUGGUCCUGCAGGCUCAGCCCCCAUCUGACACUCAGCAGAAGGAGGAAUGUCAAGGGUGUCUUAUGAGAUAUUUCCACUGACCCUCAUGUGGGGAAGCAUGUGGUCCCCGUCAUUGGAGGAUGGGACCCGUGACAGUCUCAUGAGUGUUGUUUCCACUCUUGACUUUCCUUUCACUUUUGGUGCCUGCAUUGCCUUAAGCCAUGCAAAGCCUCAUUCUUCCUAGUAUCCCCAUGGUAGGAGUUCUGGGAAAAUACAGUCAACAUCUAUGAAUCCCAAACCCAAGUAGGCAUGCAGUCAUAUUCAGAGAAGCAGAGUCCACAAGCUAAAAGAAUUUUUAAAAGGAAGCCCAGUCUUUAACUUGCAUCUCUAUUAUAUCAGGAGGGACUUAAUUUAUAAUUUCCAAAAACAUUACAUGGGACACAGCCUUUAAAAGACUGCCAAAAGAACAGUCCUUGGAAUUUAUAAACAAAUACUUCUUGAGAAUCUUCUCUUCUUUUUUCCGUUACUCCAUCUGUGACAUUAAUUGCCCAGUCCCCCCAUAGCUGUUAAUUUCAAAAUGAGACUUGCCAGAGUUUUGCCCCUCACCAAAGGAAAAGUCCAAUGUUCUUCAUAGGAAAAACAAAGCAGGGAGAGUAAAUGUUAGAGUAAAUGUUUAUUCCCGCUGAGGACUUAAAAUAUAAAAGCAUUCCACAAUGAGACAUCAGAGCUUUUCUAAUUUAGAGGUUCCCAAAUUGGAGUUCACAAAGGUAGCACAUGGAACUAUUUGAAUAAAAUCUAAGACAUCAGUAAGGUAAAAUACAGUAUUAUUUUAUGUACCACUGAGAAAGAAAAAAAAAUGCUGCCAAUGAAACCAAAUGUUCUAUUUAUUAUAAGAUGCAUUGGAUUUUAGAGAUGUUAAAAUGUGGAAAGGAAUUUAUGCCUUAGAAUCAGUGAAAUAUGGUUGUAUCAGUGUUGUUAGGGUGAAAUGGGCCACUCCUUGAAGGGUGCUUAGAGAGGUGUUUGACACACAGUAAGAGCUCAAUAAAUGUUAGCUAUGAACUUUAGUUGUUGAAAUGUUUUGGCUAUUCAUGUAUUCAGGAUUUAAUUCUAGUAGAGGCAAGAGGUUGUAUUCAGGGAGAAUAAUUCACAUUCCCAUGGCAGAAUGGAGAAGUGUAGGUUGAGUUGGUGAGUUGGGUGGUCGUGAGGAGACUGCCUGAGGGUAGACCAGAAAGACGGGCUGUGUGGAGCUAAGGUGAGCACAUUCUGUCCAUGCUUGAGGGAGGACCUAUAAGUCUGGCCACAGCCUACAGCCAGGCUAGAGAUUGGGAGCCCUUGCCUACUGGAAGCAAAGUCACAGCAGGCAAGGCUUGGGUGAGAAGGUUUAAGAACCUGUACUAUUACCUUAAAAAUGAGGCCAUGAACUAAUCACGUGCCUGCUACCAAAGGAUCCCUCAUCUAAGAGAGAAUGACUGCAUUCUUGAGGAAUGAUGGGGUGGUUGUACCACCAGAGAAGGUAAAGUAAGACUGCUCCAUGAUGCCUCUCCACUCCCCGCAAAGCUCAGUGUGGAGCCAAGGCGCCCUUGAACCCUUUGCAUCCUUCUCCAACAUUCCCUCUGGUUUCACGUGUAUUGUCAGCUAGGACUUACCGUUCAGAGUGAGGAGUUGGAACCCCCAAGGUUUUCAUGAAAGAAUGGAUGCCAUCAGUCAGAGCAAGUGGGACACAAACAGGUGACAGCAUGUUAAAUCUCUCCCAUUUUCUAUUCCUCAGAAACCCACAUUAGAGGAAGAGCCAAGGCAGCUGCCAAGAGCAGCUGUAUCGAUGUUGAGCGGACUUGUUGCAGAAAUCAGCUUUCUGCCCUAGUCCUUGAGCUUUCUGCUGGCCCAGAAAGUGGAGCCUACCCCUGGGGAAUGAAUCCCAGGUCUGCAUAUGGCGGCAGGCCUGCUCAGGGUGGGCAUGCAGGGACCAGGUUCAACUUCUGGACAGCUGCAUGUUGGGCAGGGAGCACUCAUGGCAAGAGCCAGGGCUGUUUGAGCGAAAGACUAUGGCUUCUGUUUCUACUCAGCAUUUGACUAUAAGGUUUCCCAGCCUCCAGAGCUCAGCAAGGAGACAGCCUACACUUCCUGUUCACAGGCAAUCAUGGCGGGCACAGAUUUAUCCACCACCGACUAACAUGUAAGAUAUUACAUGCAUUGUUCUGUCCCCUAUGGAAAGCCAUAGAAAAAUUAUGAAAGGAGGAUCAGCUGUGGGGAAAUCAAGAGUUUUAUGUAAAGCUCUUGGUGUCCAUAGCUGACUUGGGUUAAAUCUCUUUUAGAGUAAUAUAUGAGUAAAUUAUUCAAGCAAAUCGUUUUAAGACUGAAUAACCUGAUGCAAACUCAAUUUGGGAAAUGUCAGAGUUUACUUCCUCUACGGCACAAAUAAUUUUUUUCACAUCUUGAAUUUGGGAUUUAUGAUUUUCAACCCUAGGGUCACCUUUGAAGUGUAAAGGCGAUCAAACAAUAACUUCCUAUCUCUUGAGGCUUUUAGCUAACCCCCCAAUUUCUACACACUUUCUAGAAGAUAUUUAGCGUACAUCAAAGAGAGACUUUGAUCAAAAACAUAUUGUUUUGGCCAAGGCCAAGCACUGUUGUUCAUUUUCUUUUUGACCAGUAGAAUUGGGCAUGUGCGUGCAUGCAUACACACAAAGAUAUUCUGAUUCUGUUGAUUUCUCUGAGGAGGCUCUAACCAAAGACAGACAUCUACUAUUGUGAUUUACUAAACCUUUUUUUAAAUAAAAAGACUAACUUCCAAUCAUUUCUCUUUAAUUCUCCAUUAAGUAAAAGAUGGGGUAUCACCACCAUAGUUUGCCCAAGAAACAGCAGACGUGUCACUUUAUCCCAAAUUCUCUCUAUGCUUUAGCUUUUCCUUCUUUCUUUCCUUAGCAUUGUCUUCAGUGAGAUACUAGGUAUUCUGCAAGCUUUCAUGAGCUCCUUCUCUCCACAGUAAGAUCUCUAAGGAGACCAGUUCCAGAUUGGUUGGAAUUCUUGCUGGGAAAGAGAGCUAUGCGAGGCUUCUGUGAGGCGAAGGUCAGGACAUUGUCCUUUAGAUCACACAAAACAAUAUUGAAGAGUGGAAGUGUGCAUUACCUUUAAGGAUCAAAGGAAUACUGUCCCUAGGAUUUUUUUUAGAAACUGUAAUUAAGAAUUUUAUUGAGAUGCAAUUUACAUGCCAUAAAAUUUAAUUAUUAAAAUUUAAAUUAAUGACUUUGAUAUAUUUAUAGAGGUGUGCAACCAUCACCACCAUCUAAUUUGAGAAUACUUCCAUCACCCCAAAAAGAAACCUUGUGCUCAUUUACAGUGACUCCUCAUUCCCUUCCUCUUUUCAGCUAAUAUGAAUAAUGCCACUGUCACCUGAAUGGUGCUUAGAGGUGAAGGUAAUAUUUCCAAAAACACUUUACUGUGACACCUUUCUUUCCUCAGACUUUCAACCUUGCCUCCUCAUCUCUGUUUUUUUUGGAUGUAACUUAAAUGCUUAUGUUAUUCAUAAAGAUUUUAAAAUUUCAACAUCUCCAACACCCUUUGACUAUGUACAUGGCUUCUGAUUUUAUAGCAGUAGGCAUUUUCAAAUGGCUUGUUUUUACAAAUAAAAUAUAUUUAUCAGAUAUUAAGCAUAAAUAAAUAGCAGAAAUUUAAAAAUUAACGUGAAAGUCUUGUCUUUUAAUAGGAUAAUCUUAUGCAUUUACAUUUAUUGUCAUGACAUAAAUUUGGUCUCUCAUCUUGAAUUUUACGUUUUGCGUUUUUUCUUAUGCUUCCUUUUUU